GGUCGGGUCCUGUGCAAUCGGAACCCGCGAAUCGAGUCAGGGCCGGAAGGCAGCAGCUCUCAACGGGACUACCGAUGUGCCGCAGGUCGCCUGACCGUC
This 99-nucleotide signal recognition particle RNA is filed under the name Actinomycetota bacterium. Its description in RNAcentral is "Actinobacteria bacterium signal recognition particle sRNA small type". It matches the Rfam family "Bacterial small signal recognition particle RNA". Rfam says of the family: The signal recognition particle (SRP) is a universally conserved ribonucleoprotein involved in the co-translational targeting of proteins to membranes. Lineage: Bacteria; Bacillati; Actinomycetota. The record is from RNAcentral.